ACGAAAAAGUUGGUCCGAGUGUUGUGGGUUAUUGUUAAGUUGAUUUAACAUUGUCUCCCCCCACAACCGCGCUUGACUAGCUUGACGUUU
This 90-nucleotide Y RNA is filed under the name Macaca mulatta (Rhesus monkey). Its description in RNAcentral is "Ro-associated Y2". The stretch from base 8 to 86 matches the Rfam family "Y RNA". From Rfam's summary of the family: Y RNAs are components of the Ro ribonucleoprotein particle (Ro RNP), in association with Ro60 and La proteins. The Y RNAs and Ro60 and La proteins are well conserved, but the function of the Ro RNP is not known. Lineage: Eukaryota; Metazoa; Chordata; Mammalia; Primates; Cercopithecidae. The record is from RNAcentral.